RNAcentral lists this ribosomal RNA (459 nucleotides) under Fopius arisanus. Its description in RNAcentral is "eukaryotic LSU rRNA". Lineage: Eukaryota; Metazoa; Arthropoda; Insecta; Hymenoptera; Braconidae. The record is from RNAcentral.
AAACCGUUCAGGGGUAAACCUGAGAAACCCAAAAGAUCGAAUGGGGAGAUUCAUCGUCAGCUCAUUUUGUAUAUAUAUUAGUUAUGAUAUGGGUUACUACUUGUAGUAUUGCCUGUACAUUCUUUUAUAUUUAAUUGCAAGAUGUUGUCGGCGUGCACUUCUCCCCUAGUAGGACGUCGCAACCCGUUGAGUGUCGGUUUACGGCUCAAGUUGGUAGCCUUUAAUUUAUUUAUAAAUUAAAGACCCUUGAUGUUUUCUAACUGGCUGCUCGGCGGUAUUCGUAUGGUAUUAGGCCGCAUAUAUAUGCGUUUAUAUCUGUCGCAAGCGCGGUCAAUUUUUGGUAGUACGGACCUAGUGCCGUCGCUAUAAUUGAUCAGCUGUUGGUUGUACGGUAUUCUAUAACUGGCUUAUAAAUAUAUAUACCGGUUUGCGAUGCUACUGCUUUGGGUACUUUCAGGA